AUACGGAGGGUGCGAGCGUUGUUCGGAAUCACUGGGCGUAAAGGACGCGUAGGCGGGUUGGCAAGUCAGAUGUGAAAUCCUACAGCUUAACUGUAGAACUGCAUUUGAAACUGCUAACCUAGAGUAUGGGAGGGGGAGAUGGAAUUAGUGGUGUAGGGGUAAAAUCCGUAGAUAUCACUAGGAAUACCGAAAGCGAAGGCGAUCUCCUGGAACAUAACUGACGCUAAGGCGUGAAAGCGUGGGGAGCAAACAGGAUUAGAAACCCGGGUAGUCC
Molecule: ribosomal RNA, 274 nt
Filed under: uncultured bacterium
Lineage: Bacteria
Description: partial 16S ribosomal RNA
Rfam family: Bacterial small subunit ribosomal RNA
Source: RNAcentral